UACGUAGGGUGCAAGCGUUGUCCGGAAUUAUUGGGCGUAAAGAGCUCGUAGGCGGUUUGUCGCGUCUGCUGUGAAAACCCGAGGCUCAACCUCGGGCCUGCAGUGGGUACGGGCAGACUAGAGUGCGGUAGGGGAGAUUGGAAUUCCUGGUGUAGCGGUGGAAUGCGCAGAUAUCAGGAGGAACACCGGUGGCGAAGGCGGUUCUCUGGGCCUUACCUGACGCUGAGGAGCGAAAGCGUGGGGAGCGAACAGG
RNAcentral lists this ribosomal RNA (253 nucleotides) under uncultured bacterium. RNAcentral's name for it is "partial 16S ribosomal RNA". It matches the Rfam family "Bacterial small subunit ribosomal RNA", at positions 524 to 776 of the family's 1533-position model. The record is from RNAcentral.